GUGCCAGCAGCCGCGGUAAAACGUAGGAGGCGAGCGUUAUCCGGAUUUACUGGGUGUAAAGCGCGUGCAGGCGGUUUGUUAAGAUGGGUGUGAAAGCUCCUGGCUCAACUGGGAGAGGUCGCUCAUGACUGGCAGACUUGAGAGCAGUAGGGGAAGGUGGAAUUCCGGGUGUAGUGGUGAAAUGCGUAGAUAUCCGGAGGAACACCAGUGGCGAAAGCGGCCUUCUGGACUGCAUCUGACGCUCAGACGCGAAAGCUAGGGUAGCAAACGGGAUUAGAUACCCUCGUAGUCC
This 292-nucleotide ribosomal RNA is filed under the name uncultured bacterium. RNAcentral's name for it is "partial 16S ribosomal RNA". It matches the Rfam family "Bacterial small subunit ribosomal RNA", at positions 505 to 796 of the family's 1533-position model. The record is from RNAcentral.